RNAcentral lists this transfer RNA (66 nucleotides) under Triturus carnifex (Italian crested newt). RNAcentral's name for it is "tRNA-Cys". Lineage: Eukaryota; Metazoa; Chordata; Amphibia; Caudata; Salamandridae. The record is from RNAcentral. RNAcentral also lists the same sequence under 1 other name.
AGCCUCGUGAUGUUCAGCAUAUAAGAUUGCAAAUUUUAAAGAGCAGGAUAGCUUCUGCCGGGGCUU